CCAAAGAAGAAAAGUGUAUCGAAGUAGCUGGUUAUAAGGUGUAGAUGAAAAAAAAAAUGAAAAUCAUUAUUGGUUGAGCAGAACUUUGAAGUUUGAAUCUGUGUCGUGUGGCUUUUCUGAGAAUUAAUCAAGAACCUUCAACCCAUAUUCUCAUCCUCUUUCACUUUUCAAUUUCAAUUUGGUUCAUCAAUCAAUCAAUUCCCAUCCUCAUGUCCGACGGUUAUUGGAGAUACGCCGCCGAAUCGCGGCAUGCCCCUUCCUCUAUCGCCGGCAAGCGUUCCCGUUCCGACUAUGAUGUCUCUGGCGUUCAUGACUUGCCCAAUUACUUUCCCCAUGAUGAUGAUAGAGGAGGGCUACGAGUAAUUAGAGAUGCUGAGUCCCUUGAUGCAUCUUAUGAGAAUUACCUCCGUAGUGCGAUUUCAUCAUAUGGUUCGGGACAGUCCACUAGAACCGUUGGAGAGCGAGUUCCCAAUCGUACUAUUGACGAUUCACAUGUUGCAAAUAUUGGGGGAGUAGACAGGGGAACAAAUGUAAAAGACAAAAUCCUGGGAUUUAGUAGUGGAAGGGUUGACCAUUCUCUUCCACCUGAUGCUACCAGUACACUGUUUGUUGAGGGUUUGCCUUCUAACUGCACAAGGCGGGAAGUAGCUCGUACAGAUAUUUUUCGUCCUUUUGUUGGCUACAAAGAAGUUAGGCUUGUUAGCAAGGAGUCAAGACAACCAAGGGGUGAUCCAAUGGUACUUUGUUUUAUCGAUUUUUUGAGUCCGGGUCAUGCAGCAACUGCCAUGGAAGCAUUGCAGGGCCGUGGGCUGCUCUGCAUAAUACAGGCUGGGUUUUGGGUAAAAUAUAAAUCAAGUAAUCUGAUUAGGUAGUGAUGGAUUUAGAAUGUGAGUGCUGCCUGAAACAUACUCAGUGGUAUUGGAUUAAAGGAUCUUAUUGUAAGGAAGGACAUUAAUAAACACUGGAUGUGAGUGUGGAAUCCUAGAGCACUACUCGAUGGUCUUUCGACGUCACUAAAAAGCAGCAUCGUAUUUAACCCUAUGCAAUGCAUUUCUCAUCUACCACACUUUUAUGCGGGGAUGGAGAUGGUUUGGCUCAGAUGAAAGCUUUACUCAAGCUUGGAAAGGCAUGCCUCCUGCUUUUUAGGAACUCAUGUGGGUUGGGUGGACUGCUUAAAAGAACAUUGGUUGCAUGGAAUAUCGAUAGCUAAGGGCCUUGUUUGACAAAAUACGCUCUCUUGGUGUAGUAGACUUCCACAUUCAUUUGCUCUUCCAUCUACCAGCACCGUUACAAAUUUGACGAGCUUGACCGCAACUCGGUCAAUUUAAGGUUUGAAUUUGCUCGCCGCUAUCCUGGUGCGAGGUCAGGUGGCGUACAUCGUGGCAAACGUUGAAUUAUGCAAUUACAGGAUUCACUCACGAUGGGGAGGUUAUGAUUAUGAUUUUGAGAGGCAAAUGGGCAACAUUGCAGUCGAGAUUUACAGUUGCUUUCAUUAGCAACAAGUCGAUCAUUGUCGUAUUCGUGUGGGGAGUGCUCGCUAGAGAUUCAGAUUGUGCGUGUUUGAGAAAAAUUGUUUAAUUUAUUUACGAUAAAUUGCUUCAAAUUGUCUUAUGCGAAAUAACUUAUGACUUGGAUGGCUUUUCAUUGCUCUUUCGAAUAUAUUUAUCUACUAAUAAGAAGGAUGUUUCCAUGCA
RNA transcript from Vigna radiata var. radiata (mung bean), 1694 nucleotides. It is a transcript of the gene named RNA-binding protein 1, with no coding region annotated. The record is from RefSeq and is a predicted model, not a curated record. The transcript is spliced from 9 exons. NCBI's taxonomy places the organism in Eukaryota, Viridiplantae, Streptophyta, Magnoliopsida, Fabales, Fabaceae.